Long non-coding RNA from Vicia villosa (hairy vetch), 2707 nucleotides. RefSeq lists it as uncharacterized. The record is from RefSeq and is a predicted model, not a curated record. NCBI's taxonomy places the organism in Eukaryota, Viridiplantae, Streptophyta, Magnoliopsida, Fabales, Fabaceae. The transcript is spliced from 3 exons.
GAGGAUUUUUAAGAAAAAUGACGGAUAGAUGAGAAGUCGUUUAUGUGGAAUAAACCAAUCAGAAAAAGUUUCCAUUUUCAAAUUUAUUCUUGCAAAAAAGUGCUUAUAUCAAUAAAAGUGCUUAUUUAUAUCAACAGAAGCGAAAACAGGUUUUUGCAGUUCAGCGGGUACACCUUUAAUCAGAUUUCAAAUCUUCCUAUAUAUUGUAGCAGAAAAACUCGAGGUAAUUGUCGUAAUGGUGGGCUGUUUCCCUUCAACGCCCAAGAAUCUGGCAAUCACCAUUGCAUGUUCCCUCUCUGGAGCUGUCCUUUUUGCUGUUGGGAUUCACUUUUCUUAUGUCAAUGUUGAACCCCAACGAGCCCGAACUAUGGCUCGCGAUAAAUUUGUCUUAGAUACCUUGAGAAAGAAGUAUGGUUACAUUCCUCCAUCCGAGGUCCGAAGUAUGGCUCGCACUGAUUCUCAAAAAGAAAAUAGCUGAAUCAGACUUUGGGAUUAAAAGUUACUUAUGGGGGUGCUGUUGAAUGCUAAAAGCUUUGGUUUUUCAUUCUUGCUCCUUUGUAUGCUUUAUCACUAAUGUACACAACCAUAAUUUAAAUGUUCUUAGUGUUACCUUCAUCAUGUGAGCUUUUACAAUGGGCAUAGUUGCUCUUUUAUCAAAUAUGUGUUAGGGUUACAGUCUGUUUUAAAGAUUUUUUAGUUGAUAAUGAAAUAGUUGCAAUGGUAUUGGAGGCAUCAAAUCGAUAGUGUUUGAUUGAACUUUUCUAAUGAAAUAUCUCACUAAUUGACUAAUGCUGCUAUUUCAUUUCUGUUGAACUUAUUAAGGCCUUUCUGUGCUAGUUUUUGUAUUAGAAUGGAGGAAGAAUAAAAAGAUGAUAUAGUUCUGUCAGUUGAGAUAUAAUUGAUUAUUUUUUUAUUCUUCUUAUUUUCUUUCUAAUAAAGCUUAGGAUGUGGCAAUUUGUAAAGUAUUACAGGUGGUGGCUGAAAGUCUUUCUCUAACACAACAUAAAAUUGAUAGUGUUUGAUUGAAGUUUUCUAAUGAAAUAUCUAAUCCCACUAAUUGACUAAUGCCUCUAUUUCAUUUCUGUGUUAGUUUUGUAUUUGAAUGGAGAAAACAUGCGUUCUUCUCAAUGUAACUAGAGACAUGCCUUCAGGUUGAGUAAAUUGGAAUGUGUGUCAAAUGUAAACCCGUUACACAUACAUAAUAUAACUGGGUGGUAAGUAUUGCUUCUAUCAUCAUGGUUCAUGCAGCAGGAUAAAGUGGAAAUGAGAAUGUCCCCUUUAGCCUGCACAGUAAAGAAUACAAUAAACAAAUUUGAUGGGAGGAAGAAAAAAAAGAAAGAUGCUUUAGUUCUGUCAGUUGAGAUAUAAUUGGUCAUUCUCUGAUUCUCAUGUUCUUUCAUGUAAAGCUUAGGAUGUGACAAUUUGCAAAGUAGUAUUACAGGUGGUGGCUGAAAUUCUUUCUCUAACGAAACUUUCUGACCAAAGGAUUCACUUAACUCAUCCACAGCAUCACUUCUAUCAGAUGUAAAGAAAUGCAGUGGUAUCUUCUUUGGAAUACUGCAUAUGAGAGACCCGGUUGGCCAUUCUCUAAUACUCUUCUGCUCAACUUGCCGCUUUACCUGCUUCCAGAUUUCAUGGCAACUAAAAUGCUUUGCUGAAUUAGCAGGUUAUCUCGUGUUCUUAAACUACUACUGACAACCUUAAUGUUAGAAAGCCGAGUGGAAAAUUUUAUGAUUUGGUGUUACAGCAUGUUGUAUUGGCUGGUGACAUUAACCACUAUUGCAUAAUUCAUUUUACUGACUUACUCACAAAAUCAGAAGGUACUUGUCUUGCACAGAAAUUGCUGUUUUUUAAUUUUGUUUUAUCUGAUAACAAUCAAUAGAAUAUUGGCUAACUAAUGCAAAAACCCAAAAUGAUUAAUGGUAUAUUCUUUAAGCUUUUCCAACAUAGAGAAUUCCACUAACGCAAACGUUCAUUCUUCUAGUUUAUUAUGUGAUCAUUUGAAGUUAAAGCUUUCAGCCCCUGCAGUUUUAUAUGUCUACAUAUUUCAGCUGGUUUGUUUUCUCUCUAACAUCGAGUUGAGUUGCUGAAUCAAUUUGAAGUUGACCGCAUAUUAUGUUAAAUUAUUAAUGUUCAGGUACCCUGCAUGUAUUUCAUUAUGAGUUAUAUAUUCUCACACAUACGAUAUGCCAUUGCUAUCCUUUUUGUGUGGAUAAUUAUAUCUCAUAUUAGUUGGAUUUCAAGAAACUCUAAUUAUAGAGAAAGUCUCAAGACUGAAAGAGCAUAUACAAAUGUACAUACUUAUACUUAUGUAAUUUGGAAUUCAAUAUAUUUUUUCCAUGAAAGAGGGAAAGUAACACUCUUCAAAUUUCGGACAAGUACAAUAGUCGGUUCGACAAGUCUAUCAUUCGCGAUUGAAUGUGUCUUUUUUUUAUAUUUGUAAAAGUCUAACCAACUCUACUUAUGGUAAAGGUACUGAAAAGCUUGUUUCUUUACAAUUAUGUUGUUUUCCUUUCAAGUUUUAGUAUUUGUCCCUCCAUGUUUCAGUUUUGUUUUCUUUGAUAUAUUUUUGAUUUACAAAUAAAAGAUUCAAACAAUGAACUGAAAAUAAUAUUUAUUCACUUCAUAAAAUAGCAAACAAUGGUACGAAAUCUUUAUUUUAUUCUGAUAACAUUAGUAGCCCUUUUACACUAUUUUGUAAUCAUGA